RNAcentral lists this ribosomal RNA (465 nucleotides) under uncultured bacterium. RNAcentral's name for it is "bacterial SSU rRNA". It matches the Rfam family "Bacterial small subunit ribosomal RNA", at positions 338 to 795 of the family's 1533-position model. The record is from RNAcentral.
CCUACGGGUGGCACCAGUGGGGAAUAUUGCACAAUGGGCGCAAGCCUGAUGCAGCCAUGCCGCGUGUAUGAAGAAGGCCCUAGGGUUGUAAAGUACUUUCAGUCGGGAGGAAGGCGUUGAUGCUAAUAUCAACAACGAUUGACGUUACCGACAGAAGAAGCACCGGCUAACUCCGUGCCAGCAGCCGCGGUAGUACGGAGGGUGUAAGCGUUAAUCGGAAUUAUUGGGCGUAAAGCGCACGCUGGCGGUUGAUUAAGUUAGAUGUGAAAUCCCCGGGCUUAACCUGGGAAUGGCAUCUAAGACUGGUCAGCUAGAGUCUUGUAGAGGGGGGUAGAAUUCCAUGUGUAGCGGUGACAUGCGUAGAGAUGUGGAGGAAUACCGGUGGCGAAGGCGGCCCCCUGGACAAAGACUGACGCUCAGGUGCGAAAGCGUGGGGAGCAAACAGGAUUAGAUACCCGUGUAGUC